RNAcentral lists this ribosomal RNA (175 nucleotides) under uncultured bacterium. RNAcentral describes it as "partial 16S ribosomal RNA". It matches the Rfam family "Bacterial small subunit ribosomal RNA", at positions 334 to 524 of the family's 1533-position model. The record is from RNAcentral.
UACUCCUACGGGAGGCAGCAGCAAGGAAUUUUCCGCAAUCGACGCAAGUCGGACGGAGCAACGCCGCGUGGGGGAAGAAGGCCUUCGGGUUGUAAACCCCUUUUGUGAGGGAAGAAGAUCUGACGGUACCUCACGAAUAAGUCACGGCUAACUACGUGCCAGCAGCCGCGGUAAU